RNAcentral lists this ribosomal RNA (497 nucleotides) under uncultured bacterium. Its description in RNAcentral is "partial 16S ribosomal RNA". It matches the Rfam family "Bacterial small subunit ribosomal RNA", at positions 28 to 507 of the family's 1533-position model. The record is from RNAcentral.
GAUGAACGCUGGCGGCGUGCCUAAUACAUGCAAGUCGAGCGAACAGACGAGGAGCUUGCUCCUCUGUCGUUAGCGGCGGACGGGUGAGUAACACGUGGAUAACCUACCUAUAAGACUGGGAUAACUUCGGGAAACCGGAGCUAAUACCGGAUAAUAUAUUUAACCGCAUGGUUCAAUAUUGAAAGACGGUUUUGCUGUCACUUAUAGAUGGAUCCGCGCCGCAUUAGCUAGUUGGUAAGGUAACGGCUUACCAAGGCGACGAUGCGUAGCCGACCUGAGAGGGUGAUCGGCCACACUGGAACUGAGACACGGUCCAGACUCCUACGGGAGGCAGAAGUAGGGAAUCUUCCGCAAUGGGCGAAAGCCUGACGGAGAAACGCCGCGUGAGUGAUGAAGGUCUUCGGAUCGUAAAACUCUGUUAUUAGGGAAGAACAAAUGUGUAAGUAACUAUGCACGUCUUGACGGUACCUAAUCAGAAAGCCACGGCUAACUACGUG